Molecule: unclassified non-coding RNA, 253 nt
Filed under: uncultured Nannocystaceae bacterium
Lineage: Bacteria; Pseudomonadati; Myxococcota; Nannocystales; Nannocystaceae
Description: contains 16S-23S intergenic spacer region
Rfam family: Bacterial small subunit ribosomal RNA
Source: RNAcentral
UACGGAGGGUGCAAACGUUGCUCGGAAUCAUUGGGCGUAAAGCGCACGUAGGCGGCUGGCCAAGUUGGAUGUGAAAGGCCUCGGCUCAACCGAGGACGUGCAUCCAAAACUGGUCGGCUCGAGUGCCGGAGGGGGUGGGGGAAUUCCCGGUGUAGAGGUGAAAUUCGUAGAUAUCGGGAGGAACACCAGUGGCGAAGGCGCCCACCUGGCCGGUAACUGACGCUGAGGUGCGAAAGCGUGGGGAGCAAACAGG